UGGGGAAUAUUGCACAAUGGGCGCAAGCCUGAUGCAGCCAUGCCGCGUGUGUGAAGAAGGCCUUCGGGUUGUAAAGCACUUUCAGCGGGGAGGAAGGCGAUAAGGUUAAUAACCUUGUCGAUUGACGUUACCCGCAGAAGAAGCACCGGCUAACUCCGUGCCAGCAGCCGCGGUAAUACGGAGGGUGCAAGCGUUAAUCGGAAUUACUGGGCGUAAAGCGCACGCAGGCGGUCUGUCAAGUCGGAUGUGAAAUCCCCGGGCUCAACCUGGGAACUGCAUUCGAAACUGGCAGGCUAGAGUCUUGUAGAGGGGGGUAGAAUUCCAGGUGUAGCGGUGAAAUGCGUAGAAAUCUGGAGGAAUACCGGUGGCGAAGGCGGCCCCCUGGACGAAGACUGACGCUCAGGUGCGAAAGCGUGGGGAGCAAACAGG
This 429-nucleotide ribosomal RNA is filed under the name Chloroflexota bacterium. Its description in RNAcentral is "Chloroflexi bacterium partial 16S ribosomal RNA". It matches the Rfam family "Bacterial small subunit ribosomal RNA", at positions 355 to 776 of the family's 1533-position model. The record is from RNAcentral. Lineage: Bacteria; Bacillati; Chloroflexota.